This 1654-nucleotide ribosomal RNA is filed under the name metagenome. RNAcentral's name for it is "bacterial LSU rRNA". It matches the Rfam family "Bacterial large subunit ribosomal RNA", at positions 370 to 2033 of the family's 2925-position model. The record is from RNAcentral.
GCCCAGUAUACGACUCUUUAACGAAGCCUAGUGGAAUCCUGAGUAGCGCGGAGCACGAGAAAUUCUGUGUGAAUCAGCGGGGCCCAUCCCGUAAGGCUAAAUACUCCCGAGAGACCGAUAGCGAACCAGUACUGUGAAGGAAAGGUGAAAAGCACCUCGAACAGAGGAGUGAAAUAGUCCCUGAAACCGUCUGCCUACAAGCGGUCGGAGCAACGUAAGUUGUGACGGCGUGCCUUUUGCAUAAUGAACCUACGAGUUACUUUCUCCGGCAAGGUUAAGGGCUUCAGGCCCGGAGCCGAAGCGAAAGCGAGUCUUAAUAGGGCGUGAUAGUCGGAGUGAGUAGACGCGAAACCAAGUGAUCUACCCUUGGUCAGGUUGAAGGUUGGGUAACACCAACUGGAGGUCCGAAUGGGUAUACGUUGAAAAGUGUUCCAAUGAACUGAGGGUAGGGGUGAAAGGCUAAUCAAACUUGGAGAUAGCUCGUACUCCCCGAAAUGCAUUUAGGUGCAGCCUUUAUUUAGUAUAGCAUGAGGUAGAGCGACUGAUUGGAUGCGAGGGCUUCACCGCCUAUCAAGUCCAGAUAAACUCCGAAUGCGUGCUAUAUAUUGAUAAGGAGUGAGGGCGCGGGUGCUAAGGUCCGCGUCCGAGAGGAGAAGAAUCCAGACCAUCAGCUAAGGUCCCCAAAUAACAGUUAAGUUGAACUAACGAAGUCGGACUGCAGAGACAGCUAGGAUGUUGGCUUGGAAGCAGCCAUUCAUUUAAAGAGUGCGUAACAGCUCACUAGUCGAGGAGUCCGGCGUGGAUAAUACUCGGGCAUAAACUGUUUACCGAAGCUAUGGAUGUAGAAAUACAUGGUAGGGGAGCAUUCCAACGGCGUCGAAGGUGAAGGAUGACCUUUGCUGGAGCUUUUGGAAACGCAAAUGUAGGUAUAAGUAACGAUAAAGGAGGUGAGAAACCUCCUCGCCGAAAGACUAAGGUUUCCUGAUCAACGUUAAUCGGAUCAGGGUAAGUCGGGACCUAAGGUUAAGCCGAACGGCGAUACCGAUGGAAGAAUGGUUUAAUAUUCCCAUACUACUUUAUGGAGCGAUGUGGAGACGGAGAAGUGAAAGUCCUGCCAUCUGACGGAAUAGGUGGUUGAAGAGUGUAGAUGUAGAUUCCUGUAGGCAAAUCCGCAGGGAGAGUCGACCUUGACAGUAUGCCGCGUGCUUGCACAAGGCAAAAUGGACGUAAUCAGGCUCCCAAGAAAAUCCGCUAAGCAUAUUCAUAAAGUACCCGUACCGUAAACGGACACACGUAGUUGGGUUGAAAAUACUGAGGCGCUCGAGUGAUUCACGGUUAAGGAACUAGGCAAAUUGACCCUGUAACUUCGGGAUAAAGGGUCCCUACUGAGAGGUAGGGCGCAGAGAAUAGGUCCAGGCAACUGUUUAACAAAAACACAUGGCUGUGCGAAAUAGAAAUAUGAAGUAUACAGCCUGACACCUGCCCGGUGCUGGAAGGUUAAGAGGAGAGCUCAUCGCAAGAGAAGGCUUGAAUUGAAGCCCCAGUAAACGGCGGCCGUAACUAUAACGGUCCUAAGGUAGCGAAAUUCCUUGUCGGGUAAGUUCCGACCUGCACGAAUGGUGUAAUGAUCUGGACACUGUCUCAACCGUGAGCU